UACCUGGUUGAUCCUGCCAGUAGUCAUAUGCUUGUCUCAAAGACUAAGCCAUGCAUGUCUAAGUAUAAGUAUUAUACAGCGAAACUGCGAAUGGCUCAUUAAAACAGUUAUAGUUUAUUUGAUAAUCGAAUUUACAUGGAUAACCGUGGUAAUUCUAGAGCUAAUACAUGCUGGUAUGCCCGACUGUUGCGGAAGGGCGGUAUUUAUUAGAUAACAAAUCAAUAUUCCUCUGGUCUAUUGUGGUGAAUCAUAAUAACUGAUCGAAUCGCAAGGCCUUUGGCCGCGAUAAGUCAUUCAAGUUUCUGCCCCAUCAGCUUUCGAUGGUAGUGUAUUGGACUACCAUGGCUUUUACGGGUAACGGAGGAUUAGGGUUCGAUUCCGGAGAGGGAGCCUGAGAAACGGCUACCACAUCUAAGGAAGGCAGCAGGCGCGUAAAUUACCCAAUCCUGAUUCAGGGAGGUAGUGACAAGAAAUAACGGACCGAGGUCUUACGGCUUCGGGAUUGCAAUGAGCCGAAUUUACACCCCUUAGCGAGAAUCGAUUGGAGGGCAAGUCUGGUGCCAGCAGCCGCGGUAAUUCCAGCUCCAAUAGC
RNAcentral lists this ribosomal RNA (592 nucleotides) under uncultured marine eukaryote. RNAcentral describes it as "SSU rRNA". It matches the Rfam family "Eukaryotic small subunit ribosomal RNA", at positions 1 to 598 of the family's 1831-position model. The record is from RNAcentral.